CCCUACGGGACGCAGCAGUGGGGAAUAUUGGGCAAUGGGCGCAAGCCUGACCCAGCAACGCCGCGUGAAGGAAGAAGGCUUUCGGGUUGUAAACUUCUUUUAAGAGGGAAGAGAAGAAGACGGUACCUCUUGAAUAAGCCACGGCUAACUACGUGCCAGCAGCCGCGGUAAUACGUAGGGGGCAAGCGUUAUCCGGAUUUACUGGGUGUAAAGGGAGCGUAGACGGCAGGGCAAGUCUGGAGUGAAAGGCGGGGGCUCAACCCCCGGACUGCUCUGGAAACUGCCAGGCGGGAGUGCAGGGGAGG
This 305-nucleotide ribosomal RNA is filed under the name uncultured bacterium. RNAcentral describes it as "bacterial SSU rRNA". It matches the Rfam family "Bacterial small subunit ribosomal RNA", at positions 337 to 657 of the family's 1533-position model. The record is from RNAcentral.